This is a long non-coding RNA of Pecten maximus, 372 nucleotides long. RefSeq lists it as uncharacterized. The record is from RefSeq and is a predicted model, not a curated record. NCBI's taxonomy places the organism in Eukaryota, Metazoa, Mollusca, Bivalvia, Pectinida, Pectinidae. The transcript is spliced from 3 exons.
AAUAACAGUUGUCACAAACUCAUAACAACUACGACUGAUAGUCUCCUGUGCGAACGUUUUACGGAAUACACUGGAUUCCUGUGCGGACAUUUCCGGAAUAAAGUGGGAAAAUGGCAUUGGUUCCUGUGUUUUUGCCUUUUCUCCUGUGUGUAGCAUUACUGUCUGGGGGAUGUUUGACAGAAGUUUCAGGACUUGCUGCUCUAAAAAGAGAGGACGUUAGUCAUAGAGGGAUGGUGUAUAUCAAACUUCCCGAUGCUAAAAUUACAAGGAGGAGGGCUGCUGAAGCAUUACCUUCACUACCCGGGAAAUGAGGACUUGUUACAAAAGGAAUGAAUUAUCUCAUAACUGAAAAUGUUUUAUUGUUUAUAUCGA